Molecule: ribosomal RNA, 375 nt
Filed under: uncultured bacterium
Lineage: Bacteria
Description: bacterial SSU rRNA
Rfam family: Bacterial small subunit ribosomal RNA
Source: RNAcentral
ACGAACGCUGGCGGCGUGCUUAACACAUGCAAGUCGAGCGGUAAGGCCCUUUCGGGGGGUACACGAGCGGCGAACGGGUGAGUAACACGUGGGUGACCUGCCCUCAGCUCUGGGAUAAGCCUGGGAAACUGGGUCUAAUACUGGAUAUGACUCCACGGUGCAUGUCGUGGGGUGGAAAGCCUUGUGCGGCUGAGGAUGGGCCCGCGGCCUAUCAGCUUGUUGGUGGGGUGAUGGCCUACCAAGGCGACGACGGGUAGCCGGCCUGAGAGGGCGACCGGCCACACUGGGACUGAGACACGGCCCAGACUCCUACGGGAGGCAGCAGUGGGGAAUCUUGCGCAAUGGGCGAAAGCCUGACGCAGCGACGCCGCGUGA